This 683-nucleotide ribosomal RNA is filed under the name uncultured Acinetobacter sp. RNAcentral describes it as "bacterial SSU rRNA". It matches the Rfam family "Bacterial small subunit ribosomal RNA", at positions 49 to 726 of the family's 1533-position model. The record is from RNAcentral. Lineage: Bacteria; Pseudomonadati; Pseudomonadota; Gammaproteobacteria; Moraxellales; Moraxellaceae.
UUACACAUGCAAGUCGAGCGGAGUGAGGNGCUUGCACCUUAUCUUAGCGGCGGACGGGUGAGUAAUGCUUAGGAAUCUGCCUAUUAGUGGGGGACAACAUUCCGAAAGGAAUGCUAAUACCGCAUACGUCCUACGGGAGAAAGCAGGGGAUCUUCGGACCUUGCGCUAAUAGAUGAGCCUAAGUCGGAUUAGCUAGUUGGUGGGGUAAAGGCCUACCAAGGCGACGAUCUGUAGCGGGUCUGAGAGGAUGAUCCGCCACACUGGGACUGAGACACGGCCCAGACUCCUACGGGAGGCAGCAGUGGGGAAUAUUGGACAAUGGGGGGAACCCUGAUCCAGCCAUGCCGCGUGUGUGAAGAAGGCCUUAUGGUUGUAAAGCACUUUAAGCGAGGAGGAGGCUACUGAGACUAAUACUCUUGGAUAGUGGACGUUACUCGCAGAAUAAGCACCGGCUAACUCUGUGCCAGCAGCCGCGGUAAUACAGAGGGUGCGAGCGUUAAUCGGAUUUACUGGGCGUAAAGCGUGCGUAGGCGGCUUUUUAAGUCGGAUGUGAAAUCCCCCGAGCUUAACUUGGGAAUUGCAUUCGAUACUGGGAAGCUAGAGUAUGGGAGAGGAUGGUAGAAUUCCAGGUGUAGCGGUGAAAUGCGUAGAGAUCUGGAGGAAUACCGAUGGCGAAGGCAGCC